UCCCUGGUGGCUCAGAUGGUAAAGAAUCUGCCCUCAAUGCAGAAGACCCAGGUUCGAUCCCUGGGUUGGGAA
Molecule: transfer RNA, 72 nt
Filed under: Ovis aries (sheep)
Lineage: Eukaryota; Metazoa; Chordata; Mammalia; Artiodactyla; Bovidae
Rfam family: tRNA
About the family: Transfer RNA (tRNA) molecules are approximately 80 nucleotides in length.
Source: Rfam by way of RNAcentral